GAUGAACGCUGGCGGCGUGCCUAAUACAUGCAAGUCGAGCGAACAGACGAGGAGCUUGCUCCUCUGACGUUAGCGGCGGAUGGGUGAGUAACACGUGGAUAACCUACCUAUAAGACUGGGAUAACUUCGGGAAACCGGAGCUAAUACCGGAUAAUAUAUUGAACCGCAUGGUUCAAUAGUGAAAGACGGUUUUGCUGUCACUUAUAGAUGGAUCCGCGCCGCAUUAGCUAGUUGGUAAGGUAACGGCUUACCAAGGCAACGAUGCGUAGCCGACCUGAGAGGGUGAUCGGCCCCACUGGAACUGAGACCCGUGCCAGCCCCCUACGGGGGGCAGCGGUGGGAAAUCUUCCGCAAGGGGGGAAAGCCUGACGGGGCAACGCCGGGGGGGGGAUGAAGUUUUGCGGUUCGAAAAACUUUUUUUUUGGGGAAAAAAAAAUGUGUAAGUAACUAUGCCCGUCUGGACGGAACCAAACCAAAAAGCCCCGGCUAACUCCGG
RNAcentral lists this ribosomal RNA (496 nucleotides) under uncultured bacterium. RNAcentral's name for it is "partial 16S ribosomal RNA". It matches the Rfam family "Bacterial small subunit ribosomal RNA", at positions 28 to 506 of the family's 1533-position model. The record is from RNAcentral.